GCAUAUCAAUAAGCGGAGGAAAAGAAACCAACAGGGAUUACCUCAGUAACGGCGAGUGAAGCGGUAACAGCUCAAAUUUGAAAUCUGCCGCAAGGCCGAGUUGUAAUUUGUAGAAGAUGCUUUGGGUAUGGCCCCGGUCUAAGUUCGUUGGAACACGACGUCAUAGAGGGUGAGAAUCCCGUAUGUGACUGGGUGCUUUUGCCUAUGUAAAGCUCUUUCGACGAGUCGAGUUGUUUGGGAAUGCAGCUCAAAAUGGGUGGUAUAUUUCAUCUAAAGCUAAAUAUUGGCCAGAGACCGAUAGCGCACAAGUAGAGUGAUCGAAAGAUGAAAAGCACUUUGGAAAGAGAGUUAAACAGUACGUGAAAUUGUUGAAAGGGAAGCGCUUGCAACCAGACUUGCACGCUGUUGAUCAUCCAGGCUUCUGUUUGGUGCACUCGGCAGCGUUCAGGCCAGCAUCGGUUUUGGUGGUGGGAUAAAGGCCUUGGGAAUGUAGCUUCUUUCGGGGAGUGUUAUAGCCCUCGGUGCAAUGCCGCCUACCGGGACCGAGGACCGCGCUUCGGCUAGGAUGCUGGCGUAAUGGUUGUAAGCGACCCGUCUUGAAACACGGACCAAGGAGUCUAACAUCUAUGCGAGUGUUUGGGUGUCAAACCCAUACGCGUAAUUAACGUGAACGGAGGUGAGAACCCUUAAGGGUGCAUCAUCGACCGAUCCUGAUGUCUUCGGAUGGAUUUGAGUAAGAGCAUAGCUGUUGGGACCCGAAAGAUGGUGAACUAUGCCUGAAUAGGGUGAAGCCAGAGGAAACUCUGGUGGAGGCUCGCAGCGGUUCUGACGUGCAAAUCGAUCGUCAAAUUUGGGUAUAGGGGGCGAAAGACUAAUCGAACCAUCUAGUAGCUGGGUUCCUGCCGA
RNAcentral lists this ribosomal RNA (906 nucleotides) under Margaritispora aquatica. RNAcentral's name for it is "LSU rRNA". It matches the Rfam family "Eukaryotic large subunit ribosomal RNA", at positions 38 to 964 of the family's 3401-position model. The record is from RNAcentral. Lineage: Eukaryota; Fungi; Ascomycota; Leotiomycetes; Helotiales; Discinellaceae.